RNAcentral lists this ribosomal RNA (1391 nucleotides) under bacterium NLAE-zl-P161. Its description in RNAcentral is "16S ribosomal RNA". It matches the Rfam family "Bacterial small subunit ribosomal RNA". The record is from RNAcentral.
AGUCGAGGGGCAGCAUUUCAGUUUGCUUGCAAACUGGAGAUGGCGACCGGCGCACGGGUGAGUAACACGUAUCCAACCUGCCGAUAACUCGGGGAUAGCCUUUCGAAAGAAAGAUUAAUACCCGAUGGNAUAAUCAGACCGCAUGGUCUUAUUAUUAAAGAAUUUCGGUUAUCGAUGGGGAUGCGUUCCAUUAGGCAGUUGGUGAGGUAACGGCUCACCAAACCUUCGAUGGAUAGGGGUUCUGAGAGGAAGGUCCCCCACAUUGGAACUGAGACACGGUCCAAACUCCUACGGGAGGCAGCAGUGAGGAAUAUUGGUCAAUGGGCGCAGGCCUGAACCAGCCAAGUAGCGUGAAGGAUGACUGCCCUAUGGGUUGUAAACUUCUUUUAUAUGGGAAUAAAGUUUUCCACGUGUGGAAUUUUGUAUGUACCAUAUGAAUAAGGAUCGGCUAACUCCGUGCCAGCAGCCGCGGUAAUACGGAGGAUCCGAGCGUUAUCCGGAUUUAUUGGGUUUAAAGGGAGCGUAGGUGGACAGUUAAGUCAGUUGUGAAAAGUUUGCGGCUCAACCGUAAAAUUGCAGUUGAUACUGGCUGUCUUGAGUACAGUAGAGGUGGGCGGAAUUCGUGGUGUAGCGGUGAAAAUGCUUAGAUAUCACGAAGAACUCCGAUUGCGAAGGCAGCUCACUGGACUGCAACUGACACUGAUGCUCGAAAGUGUGGGUAUCAAACAGGAUUAGAUACCCUGGUAGUCCACACAGUAAACGAUGAAUACUCGCUGUUUGCGAUAUACAGUAAGCGGCCAAGCGAAAGCAUUAAGUAUUCCACCUGGGGAGUACGCCGGCAACGGUGAAACUCAAAGGAAUUGACGGGGGCCCGCACAAGCGGAAGAACAUGUGGUUUAAUUCGAUGAUACGCGAGGAACCUUACCCGGGCUUAAAUUGCAUUUGAAUANUUUGGAAACAGNNUAGCCGNAAGGCAAAUGUGAAGGUGCUGCAUGGUUGUCGUCAGCUCGUGCCGUGAGGUGUCGGCUUAAGUGCCAUAACGAGCGCAACCCUUAUCUUUAGUUACUAACAGGUCAUGCUGAGGACUCUAGAGAGACUGCCGUCGUAAGAUGUGAGGAAGGUGGGGAUGACGUCAAAUCAGCACGGCCCUUACGUCCGGGGCUACACACGUGUUACAAUGGGGGGUACAGAAGGCAGCUACCUGGUGACAGGAUGCUAAUCCCAAAAGCCUCUCUCAGUUCGGAUCGAAGUCUGCAACCCGACUUCGUGAAGCUGGAUUCGCUAGUAAUCGCGCAUCAGCCAUGGCGCGGUGAAUACGUUCCCGGGCCUUGUACACACCGCCCGUCAAGCCAUGAAAGCCGGGGGUACCUGAAGUACGUAACCGCAAGGAG